GCGCGCAUGUGCAUUUCGGAUGGGUUAAAUGCAGAGCACAAAUUCUGAGUAUGGGUCACCAUACUUGGCUGAAUGUCACUUCACUUUAAGUGCGGUACAACUGUGUUUAUAGCGUUAUAUGCCUUUAACAGGAGCUAACAGUAAUUGACAAGAAAAGAAGACACCAUUAACGUUAUGACAUUUUAUUUAAAAGAGAUUAUACGACCAGGUGAAGAUCUGACAUCACAGAGUUCUUCAAGGAUAACACACCUUUUCUGCCAAACGAGGCAGGUCAUAAUUGCUGCUGUACUUUGCAUCCCGAGUCCCCACUGCAUUCUUAUCAUGGAUUGCUGUCAAGUUACUGUUUCCUCCCCCAUUGUGGCCAAGCUACACAUUCUGUUUUAUUUUAAACAUAAAACACCUACGCUGGAAUUCAUUCAAAUUCUUCCUGUGAAGAAAUCCUGAAUGAGCGUCAAAGUUUCAGAUGAAGGGAAUCUACGCUUCCAAGACUCAUAUAUGAACUACUUCUAGAUUCCAAGUUUUUUCAAAUCUCAACUUAGGACUUGGACUGAACAUGCAGCAAAAGAAAAAGAAAAAAGUAGCUUCCUCAAAUGGGUACAUGGCAAGAGAUACUAAAAGCACACAAACAAUUGAAGCCCUUAUCUUAAUUGAGAUUGAAUAGUUUUUUUUUUAGUUUAACAUUGAAAUGUCAGGCAUGAGUGCAUAAAUUUUUGUUCUUUAUUUUCAAAUGCUGUACAAGGAAGUUUUUUUUUCUUCUCAAUGUCAAUUGUAGAUGCAGAUAAUUGAGCAUGAAUAAGAGGUUAGUUAAUCUAACUAGGUUUAGUUCACCCAUAAUAUUAUAUAAAAAAAUCUCAUUCCAAUCCUGUUAGACUUUUGUUCAUUUCACGAGUUCACCCUUACAUCUAAUCUGAAGGCGAAUAGUAGGCAUAUUUUGGCGUGCUGUCCUGGGG
Molecule: long non-coding RNA, 950 nt
Organism: Carassius auratus (goldfish)
Lineage: Eukaryota; Metazoa; Chordata; Actinopteri; Cypriniformes; Cyprinidae
Exons: 4
Source: RefSeq, a predicted model, not a curated record